GCACCAUUAGCUCAGUUGGUAGAGCAGCUGACUCUUAAUCAGCGGGUCCCAGGUUCGAGUCCUGGAUGGUGUA
RNAcentral lists this transfer RNA (73 nucleotides) under Fibrobacter sp. Its description in RNAcentral is "tRNA-Lys". It matches the Rfam family "tRNA". From Rfam's summary of the family: Transfer RNA (tRNA) molecules are approximately 80 nucleotides in length. Their secondary structure includes four short double-helical elements and three loops (D, anti-codon, and T loops). The record is from RNAcentral. Lineage: Bacteria; Pseudomonadati; Fibrobacterota; Fibrobacteria; Fibrobacterales; Fibrobacteraceae.